AUGGUGUCUCUAGCUUAUCAGGUAAAGCAUCUCACUGUGAAUGAGAAGAAUAGGGUUCGAGUCCCAGAGUACACCCUA
This 78-nucleotide transfer RNA is filed under the name Aquimarina mycalae. Its description in RNAcentral is "tRNA-His". It matches the Rfam family "tRNA". From Rfam's summary of the family: Transfer RNA (tRNA) molecules are approximately 80 nucleotides in length. Lineage: Bacteria; Pseudomonadati; Bacteroidota; Flavobacteriia; Flavobacteriales; Flavobacteriaceae. The record is from RNAcentral.